This 1235-nucleotide ribosomal RNA is filed under the name metagenome. Its description in RNAcentral is "SSU rRNA". It matches the Rfam family "Eukaryotic small subunit ribosomal RNA", at positions 558 to 1786 of the family's 1831-position model. The record is from RNAcentral.
AGUCUGGUGCCAGCAGCCGCGGUAAUUCCAGCUCCAAUAGUGUAUAUUAAAGUUGCUGCGGUUAAAAAGCUCGUAGUUGGAUUUCGGAAUGCGUCGGGCAAAGCUCGCCUUCUGGGUGUGGCUCGUGUGGCGCUUCCUAUCUUUGGAUAAUGGCCCUCUUGCUUCACGGCUUGGGGAGCACCGUUUCCAAUCGUUUACUGUGAAAAAAUUAGAGUGUUCAAAGCAGGCGUAACCUUGCCAUUGAAUAUUACAGCAUGGGAUAAUAGAAUAUGACAUUGGUCUUAUUUUGUUGGUUUCUAGGGCUGAUGUAAUGAUUAAUAGGGAUAGUUGGGGUCGCUCGUAUUGAGUUGUCAGAGGUGAAAUUCUAGGAUUUACUCAAGACGAACUAGUGCGAAAGCAUUCGACAAGGAUGUUUUCAUUAAUCAAGAACGAAAGUUGGGGGAUCGAAGAUGAUCAGAUACCGUCGUAGUCUCAACCAUAAACUAUGUGGACCAAGGAUCCGAGGACGUUACAUGGAUGACUCUCCGGGCACUUUGUGAGAAAUCAUAAGUAUUUGCAUUCCGGGGGGAGUAUGGUCGCAAGGCUGAAACUUAAAGGAAUUGACGGAAGGGCACCACCAGGAGUGGAACCUGCGGCUUAAUUUGACCCAACACGGGGAAACGUACCAGGUCCGGACACUAUGAGGAUUGACAGAUUAAGAGCUCUUUCUUGAUUUAGUGGGUGGUGGUGCAUGGCCGUUUUUAGUUGGUGGAGUGAUCUGUCUGGUUAAUUCCGUUAACGAACGAGACCUUAACCUAUUAAUUAGUUACGCGAACUCGGGGGCAACUCCGGUCGGUUCGUGGGCGAACUUCUUAGAGGGACUCUCGGCAUCUCUAGCCGAUGGAAGUUUGAGGCAAAAACAGGUCUGUGAUGCCCUUAGAUGCCCUGGGCUGCACGCGCGUUACACUGACAAUCGCAACGAGUGGUCUCCUUGCCCGAUGGGGCCGGGUAAGCUUUGAAAAGAUUGUCGUGAUGGGGAUUGAACCUUGCAAUUAUUGUUCAUGAACGAGGAAUUCCUAGUAAGCGUGGUUCAUCAGACCACGCUGAUUACGUCCCUGCCCUUUGUACACACCGCCCGUCGCUCCUACCGAUUGAAUGGUCCGGUGAGAACUCAGGACGGUCGUAUUGCAGUUGCUCGCAAGAGUAAACGGAUAUGAUCGGAAUUUGUUCAAACCUUACCAUUUAGAGGAAGGAGA